Phascolarctos cinereus (koala) is the source of this 465-nucleotide non-coding RNA. Lineage: Eukaryota; Metazoa; Chordata; Mammalia; Diprotodontia; Phascolarctidae. The record is from RefSeq and is a predicted model, not a curated record.
UGUUCCAUUUUAGUCUUCUUAUUCCCAGCAACUAGCCCAGUACCUGCCACAUAAUAGGUACUUUGUGAAUGCUAAUGGAAGGAAAUAAAGGAUGAAGAAAGAAAGGAAGAAAGGAAAGAAGAAAAAUUUAGGGACAUGAUUUGACCUGUGGUGUAUCUGAAUCCAUCCAACCAUGAGCUGUUUGAUAAUGGGCUCUUCAAAUUACUCAAUCAUAGAAUCUCAGCAUGAUGGAGUUAGAAGGAACCUUGGAGAUCAUCUACUCUGGCCUCCUCAUUUUAUAGGUGAAGAAAUUAAGACCUAGGAAUGUUAAGUGAAUUUCACAAAGUCUCAGGAGUAGUAAGUGACAACACUAAAGUUAGAAGCUGGGUCUUCUUAUUUCCAGUAUGGGGCUCUAUGGUGUGAUAUUAUAUUGACAAGUCAUGAUUUUAAAAAUGAAUUUGUAAAUAAAAUCACAUUUGCAAUGGA